AGAGUUUGAUCCUGGCUCAGAUUGAACGCUAGCGGGAUGCUUUACACAUGCAAGUCGAACGGCAGCGCGAGAGAGCUUGCUCUCUUGGCGGCGAGUGGCGGACGGGUGAGUAAUAUAUCGGAACGUGCCCAGUAGCGGGGGAUAACUACUCGAAAGAGUGGCUAAUACCGCAUACGCCCUACGGGGGAAAGGGGGGGAUCGCAAGACCUCUCACUAUUGGAGCGGCCGAUAUCGGAUUAGCUAGUUGGUGGGGUAAAGGCUUACCAAGGCAACGAUCCGUAGCUGGUUUGAGAGGACGACCAGCCACACUGGGACUGAGACACGGCCCAGACUCCUACGGGAGGCAGCAGUGGGGAAUUUUGGACAAUGGGGGAAACCCUGAUCCAGCCAUCCCGCGUGUAUGAUGAAGGCCUUCGGGUUGUAAAGUACUUUUGGCAGAGAAGAAAAGGUACCUCCUAAUACGAGGUACUGCUGACGGUAUCUGCAGAAUAAGCACCGGCUAACUACGUGCCAGCAGCCGCGGUAAUACGUAGGGUGCAAGCGUUAAUCGGAAUUACUGGGCGUAAAGCGUGUGUAGGCGGUUCGGAAAGAAAGAUGUGAAAUCCCAGGGCUCAACCUUGGAACUGCAUUUUUAACUGCCGAGCUAGAGUAUGUCAGAGGGGGGUAGAAUUCCACGUGUAGCAGUGAAAUGCGUAGAUAUGUGGAGGAAUACCGAUGGCGAAGGCAGCCCCCUGGGAUAAUACUGACGCUCAGACACGAAAGCGUGGGGAGCAAACAGGAUUAGAUACCCUGGUAGUCCACGCCCUAAACGAUGUCAACUAGCUGUUGGGGCCGUUAGGCCUUAGUAGCGCAGCUAACGCGUGAAGUUGACCGCCUGGGGAGUACGGUCGCAAGAUUAAAACUCAAAGGAAUUGACGGGGACCCGCACAAGCGGUGGAUGAUGUGGAUUAAUUCGAUGCAACGCGAAAAACCUUACCUACCCUUGACAUGUCUGGAAAGCCGAAGAGAUUUGGCCGUGCUCGCAAGAGAACCGGAACACAGGUGCUGCAUGGCUGUCGUCAGCUCGUGUUGUGAAAUGUUGGGUUAAGUCCCGUAACGAGCGCAACCCUUGUCCUUAUUUGCCAGCGGGUAAUGCCGGGAACUCUAAGGAGACUGCCGGUGACAAACCGGAGGAAGGUGGGGACGACGUCAAGUCAUCAUGGCCCUUACGAGUAGGGCUACACACGUGCUACAAUGGCCGGUACAAAGGGUUGCGAGCUCGCGAGAGUUAGCCAAUCCCGAAAAGCCGGUCUCAGUCCGGAUCGGAGUCUGCAACUCGACUCCGUGAAGUCGGAAUCGCUAGUAAUCGUGAAUCAGAAUGUCACGGUGAAUACGUUCCCGGGCCUUGUACACACCGCCCGUCA
This 1403-nucleotide ribosomal RNA is filed under the name uncultured bacterium. RNAcentral describes it as "bacterial SSU rRNA". It matches the Rfam family "Bacterial small subunit ribosomal RNA". The record is from RNAcentral.